AAUGAACGCUGGCGGCUUGCCUAAUACAUGCAAGUCGAGCGAAGCGGGGACGGUUGAGGAACACGUGGAUAACCUCAUUUAAGAAUAGGAUAACUUAGGGAAACCGGAGCUAAAAAGGCUACUUAUAGAUGGAUCCGCGGUGCAUUAGCUAGUUGGUAAGGUAACGGCUUACCAAGGCCACGAUGCAUAGCCGACCUGAUAGGUUGAUCGGCCACAGUGGAACUGAGCCACGGUCCAGACUCCUACGGGAGGCAGCAGUAGGGAAGAUUCCGCAAUGGGCGAAAGCCUGACGGAGCAACGCCGCGUGAGUGAAGAAGGUCUUCGGAUCGUAAAACUCUGUUAUUAGGGAAGCGGUAUCUAAUCAGAAAGCCACGGCUAACUACGUGCCAGCAGCCGCGGUAAUAC
RNAcentral lists this ribosomal RNA (405 nucleotides) under uncultured bacterium. RNAcentral describes it as "partial 16S ribosomal RNA". It matches the Rfam family "Bacterial small subunit ribosomal RNA", at positions 29 to 526 of the family's 1533-position model. The record is from RNAcentral.